AAAGAUUUAGUUUAAUAUUAAAACCUUAAUUUGUCAAAUUAAAAUUACUAAUAAAUAGUAAUCUUUA
Molecule: transfer RNA, 67 nt
Filed under: Nezara viridula (southern green stink bug)
Lineage: Eukaryota; Metazoa; Arthropoda; Insecta; Hemiptera; Pentatomidae
Description: tRNA-Asp
Rfam family: tRNA
About the family: Transfer RNA (tRNA) molecules are approximately 80 nucleotides in length. Their secondary structure includes four short double-helical elements and three loops (D, anti-codon, and T loops).
Source: RNAcentral